UACGGAGGGGGCUAGCGUUGUUCGGAAUUACUGGGCGUAAAGCGCACGUAGGCGGCUUUGUAAGUUAGAGGUGAAAGCCCGGGGCUCAACUCCGGAACUUGCCUUUAAGACUGCAUCGCUAGAAUUGUGGAGAGGUAAGUGGAAUUCCGAGUGUAGAGGUGAAAUUCGUAGAUAUUCGGAAGAACACCAGUGGCGAAGGCGACUUACUGGACACAUAUUGACGCUGAGGUGCGAAAGCGUGGGGAGCAAACAGG
This 254-nucleotide ribosomal RNA is filed under the name uncultured bacterium. Its description in RNAcentral is "partial 16S ribosomal RNA". It matches the Rfam family "Bacterial small subunit ribosomal RNA", at positions 524 to 776 of the family's 1533-position model. The record is from RNAcentral.